UACGUAGGGGGCAAGCGUUGUCCGGAAUUAUUGGGCGUAAAGGGCGCGCAGGCGGCCGUUUAAGUCUCGUGUUUAAUCCCGGGGCUCAACCCCGGUACGCAUGGGAAACUGGAUGGCUUGAGUGCAGAAGAGGAGAGUGGAAUUCCACGUGUAGCGGUGAAAUGCGUAGAGAUGUGGAGGAACACCAGUGGCGAAGGCGGCUCUCUGGUCUGUAACUGACGCUGAGGCGCGAAAGCGUGGGUAGCAAACAGG
RNAcentral lists this ribosomal RNA (252 nucleotides) under uncultured bacterium. Its description in RNAcentral is "partial 16S ribosomal RNA". It matches the Rfam family "Bacterial small subunit ribosomal RNA", at positions 524 to 776 of the family's 1533-position model. The record is from RNAcentral.